UAAACAGCCCUUUUCAGGGCUACCAAAUAGUUCUGAAAAGAACUUU
This is a non-coding RNA of Anopheles melas, 46 nucleotides long. NCBI's taxonomy places the organism in Eukaryota, Metazoa, Arthropoda, Insecta, Diptera, Culicidae. The record is from Rfam.